RNAcentral lists this unclassified non-coding RNA (344 nucleotides) under Hevea brasiliensis (rubber tree). Lineage: Eukaryota; Viridiplantae; Streptophyta; Magnoliopsida; Malpighiales; Euphorbiaceae. The record is from RNAcentral.
GAAAUAUUAUACGGGUCGCCCAUGUGGGUCAACCGGUUCCAUCAAUUUAUUUAUUUAUGUAAUAAAUAAAAGAAAAAAAUAAAUUAAUUAAAUAUAGAAUUUGUAAGAAGAAAAAAGUUAACUGCCAUGCAGUUAACAUGGGCCAUGCUAAAUCAUCUCUUAAGAGUUGUGUCUAUUAGUGUUGACACAUAUAUAAAGAAGAUUAGUUUUCUGCAUGUUGGUGACUUGAAGAACGAAACCAAAACAUAAAGAAAAGAAAAGCAUUUUGGUUCUUGUUCUAAGAAAAACUCUCUCAUUUUCAAGAAUUGUUGGAGCAAUUAUAUUUCUGCAAAUCAAAGGUACAU